RNAcentral lists this unclassified non-coding RNA (260 nucleotides) under Caenorhabditis elegans. Its description in RNAcentral is "Non-coding transcript of protein-coding gene Y53G8AL.4c". The record is from RNAcentral. Lineage: Eukaryota; Metazoa; Nematoda; Chromadorea; Rhabditida; Rhabditidae.
UAUUCUUCUUACUUAUCGUCACGUUUGCCGGAUUUUCAUUUUCCCGCCCCGACCACCAUUCGAGGAACUGCAAAGCUUACCGACGACCGGCUCUAAACGAAGUGCUCACGAGAAUAUGCCUACUUUGCCAUGAAAUGUUUUCAGUCGACCAGCCGAAUCUAGCCGCCGAGUGCAGCUCGAAUUGCUUCAGGAAUCCGGCGUUUAACAAGUGUCUCAACUUUUUUAGGCCGAAAUUUUCUCCUUUUCUGGGUUCCACGUGA